Molecule: ribosomal RNA, 492 nt
Filed under: uncultured bacterium
Lineage: Bacteria
Description: partial 16S ribosomal RNA
Rfam family: Bacterial small subunit ribosomal RNA
Source: RNAcentral
AGUGAACGCUGGCGGUAGGCCUAUCACAUGCAAGUCGAACGGCAGCACAGUAAGAGCUUGCUCUUACGGGUGGCGAGUGGCGGACGGGUGAGGAAUACAUCGGAAUCUACUUUUUCGUGGGGGAUAACGUAGGGAAACUUACGCUAAUACCGCAUACGACCUACGGGUGAAAGCAGGGGAUCUUCGGACCUUGCGCGAUUGAAUGAGCCGAUGUCGGAUUAGCUAGUUGGCGGGGUAAAGGCCCACCAAGGCGACGAUCCGUAGCUGGUCUGAGAGGAUGAUCAGCCACACUGGAACUGAGACACGGUCCAGACUCCUACGGGAGGCAGCAGUGGGGAAUAUUGGACAAUGGGCGCAAGCCUGAUCCAGCCAUACCGCGUGGGUGAAGAAGGCCUUCGGGUUGUAAAGCCCUUUUGUUGGGAAAGAAAAGCAGCAGGUUAAUACCCCGCUGUUCUGACGGUACCCAAAGAAUAAGCACCGGCUAACUUCAUG